RNAcentral lists this transfer RNA (64 nucleotides) under Renocera pallida. Its description in RNAcentral is "tRNA-Leu". The record is from RNAcentral. Lineage: Eukaryota; Metazoa; Arthropoda; Insecta; Diptera; Sciomyzidae.
UCUAUAUUGGCAGAUAAGUGCGAUAAAUUUAGAAUUUAUUUAUGUGAUUAAUUUACAUAUAGAA